GACGAACGCUGGCGGCGCGCCUAACACAUGCAAGUCGAACGAGCGAGAGAGAGCUUGCUUUCUCGAGCGAGUGGCGAACGGGUGAGUAACGCGUGAGGAACCUGCCUCAAAGAGGGGGACAACAGUUGGAAACGACUGCUAAUACCGCAUAAGCCCACGGGUCGGCAUCGACCAGAGGGAAAAGGAGCAAUCCGCUUUGAGAUGGCCUCGCGUCCGAUUAGCUAGUUGGUGAGGUAAUGGCCCACCAAGGCAACGAUCGGUAGCCGGACUGAGAGGUUGAACGGCCACAUUGGGACUGAGACACGGCCCAGAC
This 313-nucleotide ribosomal RNA is filed under the name uncultured bacterium. Its description in RNAcentral is "bacterial SSU rRNA". It matches the Rfam family "Bacterial small subunit ribosomal RNA", at positions 28 to 336 of the family's 1533-position model. The record is from RNAcentral.